GACGAACGCUGGCGGCGUGCCUAAUACAUGCAAGUAGAACGCACAGUUUAUACCGUAGCUUGCUACACCAUAGACUGUGAGUUGCGAACGGGUGAGUAACGCGUAGGUAACCUGCCUGGUAGCGGGGGAUAACUAUUGGAAACGAUAGCUAAUACCGCAUAAUAUUAAUUAUUGCAUGAUAAUUAAUCGAAAGGUGCAAUUGCACCACUACCAGAUGGACCUGCGUUGUAUUAGCUAGUAGGUGAGGUAACGGCUCACCUAGGCGACGAUACAUAGCCGACCUGAGAGGGUGAUCGGCCACACUGGGACUGAGACACGGCCCAGACUCCUACGGGAGGCAGCAGUAGGGAAUCUUCGGCAAUGGACGAAAGUCUGACCGAGCAACGCCGCGUGAGUGAAGAAGGUUUUCGGAUCGUAAAGCUCUGUUGUAAGAGAAGAACGGGUGUGAGAGUGGAAAGUUCACACUGUGACGGUAUCUUACCAGAAAGGGACGGCUAACUACGUG
This 505-nucleotide ribosomal RNA is filed under the name uncultured bacterium. RNAcentral's name for it is "partial 16S ribosomal RNA". It matches the Rfam family "Bacterial small subunit ribosomal RNA", at positions 28 to 507 of the family's 1533-position model. The record is from RNAcentral.